UUCCGGUAUUGAUGGUGAGCUUAUUGAUGCUUUUGUUAUCUUUGCAGGACCCAACCAAGCAAACUGGCAUUGAUAAGUUCAUGAUACAAUAACUUGAUGGAACAGUUAAUGAGUGGGGCUGGUGCAAGCAGAAGCUUGGUGCUAAUGCUAUAUUGGCAGUAUCACUUGCUGUCUGUAAAGCAGGUGCUAGCGUGAAAUGGAUCCCUCUUUACCAGAUAGAUGUGGAGAGUACAGUGGGGGGAGAAGCUUUUUCUCAGAUAGCGCCAACAAUUCCUACUGUCGCUGAUGUAUUUACCAGUACUCAUCUAUUUGAUGUACUUACAGAUUCAACUAGAGGUCGGCUUUCUUUCUCUGUAUAUGAGAAGUACCUUGUUGGAUUAGAAAGGGGUUGAUAAGGAGGUUUCUGUCUAUAUUUCUCACCUUCAUAGGUAUUCUAAAUGGCUCAAUUGUCCCCUGAUUUAAAUGGGUUGUUGCAUGGCCUAUGCAUCUUAAUGUAUCUGUCUUGUAUAUGUUUAGUAAGCACCCUGUAGUGGGCUAUUCUACAAACUACC
This is a long non-coding RNA of Magnolia sinica, 551 nucleotides long. RefSeq lists it as uncharacterized. NCBI's taxonomy places the organism in Eukaryota, Viridiplantae, Streptophyta, Magnoliopsida, Magnoliales, Magnoliaceae. The record is from RefSeq and is a predicted model, not a curated record. The transcript is spliced from 4 exons.